Long non-coding RNA from Ostrea edulis (European flat oyster), 2303 nucleotides. RefSeq lists it as uncharacterized. The transcript is spliced from 3 exons. NCBI's taxonomy places the organism in Eukaryota, Metazoa, Mollusca, Bivalvia, Ostreida, Ostreidae. The record is from RefSeq and is a predicted model, not a curated record.
CAGGAAGUGAGAGAAUCCCUGCAUCCUGUUUUGUGUGAGCGUACUUAUAACCAGGAAAAUAGAUACAUUAUAUCUAUACGACACGUUCGAUGGUGUGAUUAAGAGUAAUGUGGACACGCAUACAUUGCAAUACAAAACGAAGAGUUGGGCAAACAUGGCUCCCCGAACAUACCAGAGGUGGGAUCAGGUGCCUAGAAGGAAUAAACAUCCCCUGUCGAGCUGUCACAUUAACCGUGAACCCUAUAUCUUGGUGUGUAAAGAACAGCCUCAGAUGGUAUGAAACAUGUCAGACAACAUUUGACCCAAUGACAGGUUGUAAGAUGGGUUAGUGGAACUCUGACAGAAGCGUGCAGGAGAGACUUUCUUAUUUCAUUCCUAUGUUGCCGUAUGAUCAUAUAUUGGGCAUGAAAUUAAACCCACAAGGAACUGUUGGUGAUUUUCUACUCCCAUUAGCCAAGUGAGGGUGAAUAUUCCAUUGAAUCGUUCCAAUUUGCUAUAAUUGUUAUAAAGUUCAAGAGCUUCCGAGAGCAACGCCUCUGGCCUUCACCAGAGCUUUCUCCUGGACCCACUGGGGUCUAAAUGCCCCUACUUCCCUGCAAAAUCCUAGAUGCACCACUAAAUGUGGAAUAUUUUUCCCAAUUUGAUAUGAAUAACAAACAUACCCUCGGGUACAACGUAAUUUAGCGGUCUGUAACACUCGUGUCCACAUCCAUUGCUGCGACACUCAUACCCCGCGGGACAGUCCACACCAUAUUGACCACACAAGCUGAGACACGACCCUCUGGAUUCACGAUUAGGAACUGCCGUGACCACACAUACUGUAAACAAGUCACCUUGUUAUGAACCAUAUGGUCAUCCAGUAUACCCGGUAUAUCGUGUAUUGUACAAUCUGAUUUUCGAGAAUUAAAAAAAAACGUAUUUUCAAAAGGUUUAAAGAAAUAUUAAUGUAAGGAAAAUAGGUUCAGUUUAUAGUCAAACCUGAGAAAAUCAAUGUAACUAUAAGCCUCAUGUCAGUGCGUAGAUAAAUCCUUAAUAUCUGGGUCUUUAAGUUCAUCUGAUAACAAACAAUACAGGACAAUGCUAGAAUUUCCCAAUAAUUGUACAAGAUUAGACUUUUGAGUCAUUUCGUGCUAUCUGAUCCCAAAAGAAAACCACCAAUGUCAAUGUGGUGAGCUGCACAUAACAGUUUACGGUCAAUUCAAAUUCUCGUCGAGUGCUACCCUGGUGUAACGCACAAACUACAUGUACUAGUAUUCACAAAUUAUACACUUUCAUGUAAAUGUGGAAAUCUAUUGCUCCAGGAGCGCCAUUUCUAUAUUUUUCUAUCAUUUAUUCACUAUGGACUUUGAAACAUUAAUCUAAUGCACUGAGAUGUGUUAUAAGAUAUUUUGAUCGUAUUUUUUUUUAUUCUACGUCUCUUUCGAAAACUGUUCACUCGUUUGGAGAGGUGAAGGGAAGUGCUAAAUAGUUUGUCCUAUUCAUGGUGAUCAAGGUCAUAGCAGUGAGGUUUCUUUUUUGUGCCAACGUCUCGCUUCUAAUGCUUGGCGAAAGAACAGCAAAUAAUACCCAUGAUAAAUGUCUUAGGUUGAAAGGGGUGCCAUGAUAAAGAAUCGAACCUAGUGUAGCAGUGUGUUUUAACUUGUAUAUAUUAUAUGAUACCAUAUUUUAAUAAACAUGAAUAGUGCAUAUGAAUUAAAAGCGCAUUUUAUGAUUUAAGUCAAAUUCCCAGAUCCACCCCUUUAUCUACUUAGUGUAAUAGGUGAGUGAAAAGGUUCACAGGUCUUGGUAUUUCAUUGGCUGUAGAACUGAGUUUUAUUCAGUUAGAAUCUAGAGAGUUUUUGGUCAGGUUGGUCGUGGCUUGCUUUUAAGCAGUUUUGGUAUCUUUUUGCUGAUUUGGCAUUUUGGUUUUGACAAAGACAUUAUUAGACCUUCAAAUCCAGACCUGACAGUAAGUACUAAUUUUAUUAACAUUUAUCUUCAUAAUAAGUAUAUAUAACUAAUAUCACUGUUUGAGAGAAGAGUGAAAGUUUAAAUAUUAUGAAGAACAGUAAAUAUCAAUUUAAAGUUAUUUCCUCUCAGUAUAUGCUUAUAAUAUAUCUAUAGUUAUUAUAGUGUAUAUAGUACUGUAAUGAUAUAUUUGUUAUAAAUAGAUUAGAAGCAUCCAGGCAGCAUUUUGAUGUUUGCAUGCAUUGGGCCUUGUCCCAUAGAUAGGGCCAUUUAUUUUUGUAAUCAACAUUAUGUAAUCAUCGUCAUCAUCCUUAUUCGUUUUACCGUACAAUAAAUGACUGCAUUGUGAACCCUAA